RNAcentral lists this long non-coding RNA (592 nucleotides) under Trifolium pratense (red clover). RNAcentral describes it as "long non-coding RNA (TPRA_LNC010094)". Lineage: Eukaryota; Viridiplantae; Streptophyta; Magnoliopsida; Fabales; Fabaceae. The record is from RNAcentral.
AGGAGAGGAGUAAGCUAACCUUAUCCAACCUUUGUAUCCGUAAAUCCCUAUAUAGCCUACCAGCGUUGUACCCUUUUGCGAGCAAGUCAGCCUCUAUUUAUUAAACCCUUUCUAGAGUCACCAGCUAAUCCUAAAAUCCCAGGUGCGUAAGCAAGCUACCCUUUAGUAAGUAGUCAGCAACCCUCCUAAGCCUUGUUUUUAGGAGUAACCUGGGAUCUUUUUAAGCUCGUUAUAGGAAGACGCGCUAUAUGAGUAAUCUAUCCUAGUAGACAUUAUACUAGGAAGCUCCUGAGUCAACCUCUAAUCUAUAAGCCAGUCAGCGGGAUAGAUGAAUAUGAACUUCUCUAAGAGAACAGUUCAACGGGUUUAAUUGAAUUCCGUUAUAUGAUCAGAUUAGAUAUUCUCUAAGACUGUAUAAGAGAGACCUAACUAACUGGAUUGCUAGCAGUGAUCAUACCCGAUGAUGUGAACCCGAUUGAAUCAGCUCUUGUGAUCAUAUCCCAUGCUAUCAAUGGGAGUUAAGUCCGCCUAUCCAUCAACAUAAAAGUUAAAGGAGCCCGCUAACUACUGCACUUCCUAAUGUGAUAUUGAG